GAUGAAGAACGUAGCGAAAUGCGAUAAGUAAUGUGAAUUGCAGAAUUCAGUGAAUCAUCGAAUCUUUGAACGCACAUUGCGCCCUCCGGCAUUCCGGGGGGCAUGCCUGCCCGAGCGUCACGAAAACCCCAUCACACUCGUUGUGGUCAUGGCUGCAGUGAGUCGUCUCCAGCGGAGAGGGUCACGCCGCUGAAAGGAAUGGUGCGGAUGAGUUCCGAUGGCCGAACGUAGUACUUGACAACCGUCGGCCGAUGGGACCCUCCAUCUCGCCCUGACGACGUACCCCCGUCGUACCCCCGAUCAGGUGGACCUCGGAUCAGGUAGGGAUACCCGCUGAACUUAAGCAUAUCAAUAAGCGGAGGA
This 363-nucleotide unclassified non-coding RNA is filed under the name soil metagenome. RNAcentral's name for it is "partial contains 5.8S ribosomal RNA, internal transcribed spacer 2, and large subunit ribosomal RNA". The stretch from base 1 to 120 matches the Rfam family "5.8S ribosomal RNA", at positions 35 to 154 of the family's 154-position model. The record is from RNAcentral.